CCUACGGGUGGCUGCAGUGGGGAAUAUUGCACAAUGGGCGCAAGCCUGAUGCAGCCAUGCCGCGUGUGUGAAGAAGGCCUUCGGGUUGUAAAGCACUUUCAGCGGGGAGGAAGGCGGUGAGGUUAAUAACCUCAUCGAUUGACGUUACCCGCAGAAGAAGCACCGGCUAACUCCGUGCCAGCAGCCGCGGUAAUACGGAGGGUGCAAGCGUUAAUCGGAAUUACUGGGCGUAAAGCGCACGCAGGCGGUCUGUCAAGCCGGAUGUGAAAUCCCCGGGCUCAACCUGGGAACUGCAUUCGAAACUGGCAGGCUAGAGUCUUGUAGAGGGGGGUAGAAUUCCAGGUGUAGCGGUGAAAUGCGUAGAGAUCUGGAGGAAUACCGGUGGCGAAGGCGGCCCCCUGGACAAAGACUGACGCUCAGGUGCGAAAGCGUGGGGAGCAAACAGGAUUAGAUACCCGUGUAGUC
RNAcentral lists this ribosomal RNA (465 nucleotides) under uncultured Klebsiella sp. RNAcentral's name for it is "bacterial SSU rRNA". It matches the Rfam family "Bacterial small subunit ribosomal RNA", at positions 338 to 795 of the family's 1533-position model. The record is from RNAcentral. Lineage: Bacteria; Pseudomonadati; Pseudomonadota; Gammaproteobacteria; Enterobacterales; Enterobacteriaceae.